This 75-nucleotide transfer RNA is filed under the name Desmophyllum pertusum. Its description in RNAcentral is "Lophelia pertusa tRNA". It matches the Rfam family "tRNA". Rfam says of the family: Transfer RNA (tRNA) molecules are approximately 80 nucleotides in length. Lineage: Eukaryota; Metazoa; Cnidaria; Anthozoa; Scleractinia; Caryophylliidae. The record is from Rfam by way of RNAcentral.
UCUCCUGUAGCUCAGUGGUAGAGCGUCCGACCGGUGUGUGGAUCAAGGUCAUAGGUUCGACUCCUAUUGAGAAAA